Molecule: ribosomal RNA, 1017 nt
Filed under: uncultured bacterium
Lineage: Bacteria
Description: bacterial SSU rRNA
Rfam family: Bacterial small subunit ribosomal RNA
Source: RNAcentral
UGAGGAAUAUUGGUCAAUGGGCGCGAGCCUGAACCAGCCAAGUAGCGUGAAGGAUGAAGGUCCUAUGGAUUGUAAACUUCUUUUAUACGGGAAUAAAGUGGUCCACGUGUGGACUUUUGCAUGUACCGUAUGAAUAAGCAUCGGCUAACUCCGUGCCAGCAGCCGCGGUAAUACGGAGGAUGCGAGCGUUAUCCGGAUUUAUUGGGUUUAAAGGGAGCGCAGACGGGGGAUUAAGUCAGUUGUGAAAGUUUGCGGCUCAACCGUAAAAUUGCAGUUGAUACUGGUUCCCUUGAGUGCAGUUGAGGCAGGCGGAAUUCGUGGUGUAGCGGUGAAAUGCAUAGAUAUCACGAAGAACCCCGAUUGCGAAGGCAGCCUGCUAAGCUGUAACUGACGUUGAGGCUCGAAAGUGUGGGUAUCAAACAGGAUUAGAUACCCUGGUAGUCCACACGGUAAACGAUGGAUACUCGCUGUUGGCGAUAUACUGUCAGCGGCCAAGCGAAAGCAUUAAGUAUCCCACCUGGGGAGUACGCCGGCAACGGUGAAACUCAAAGGAAUUGACGGGGGCCCGCACAAGCGGAGGAACAUGUGGUUUAAUUCGAUGAUACGCGAGGAACCUUACCCGGGCUUAAAUUGCAGACGAAUUACCUGGAAGCAGGUAAGCCGCAAGGCGUCUGUGAAGGUGCUGCAUGGUUGUCGUCAGCUCGUGCCGUGAGGUGUCGGCUUAAGUGCCAUAACGAGCGCAACCCUCGUGGCCAGUUACUAGCAGGUAAUGCUGAGGACUCUGGCCAGACUGCCAUCGUAAGAUGCGAGGAAGGUGGGGAUGACGUCAAAUCAGCACGGCCCUUACGUCCGGGGCUACACACGUGUUACAAUGGGAGGUACAGAAGGCAGCUACCCGGCGACGGGAUGCCAAUCUCCAAAGCCUCUCUCAGUUCGGACUGGAGUCUGCAACCCGACUCCACGAAGCUGGAUUCGCUAGUAAUCGCGCAUCAGCCACGGCGCGGUGAAUACGUUCCC